GGGCAUGUAGCUCAAUGGUAGAGCACCUGUCUAGUACACACAAAGCCCUGGGUUCCAUCCCCAGCACCA
Molecule: transfer RNA, 69 nt
Filed under: Ictidomys tridecemlineatus (thirteen-lined ground squirrel)
Lineage: Eukaryota; Metazoa; Chordata; Mammalia; Rodentia; Sciuridae
Description: Spermophilus tridecemlineatus (thirteen-lined ground squirrel) tRNA
Rfam family: tRNA
About the family: Transfer RNA (tRNA) molecules are approximately 80 nucleotides in length. Their secondary structure includes four short double-helical elements and three loops (D, anti-codon, and T loops).
Source: Rfam by way of RNAcentral